This 119-nucleotide ribosomal RNA is filed under the name Oreochromis niloticus (Nile tilapia). The record is from RNAcentral. Lineage: Eukaryota; Metazoa; Chordata; Actinopteri; Cichliformes; Cichlidae.
GCUUACGGCCAUACCACCCUGAACGCGUCUGAUCUCGUCUGAUCUCGGAAACUAAGCAGGGUCAGGCCUGGUCAGUACUUGGAUGAGAGACCGCAUGGGAGUACCAGGUGCUGUAAGUU